Molecule: transfer RNA, 73 nt
Organism: Apaloderma vittatum (bar-tailed trogon)
Lineage: Eukaryota; Metazoa; Chordata; Aves; Trogoniformes; Trogonidae
Rfam family: tRNA
About the family: Transfer RNA (tRNA) molecules are approximately 80 nucleotides in length.
Source: Rfam
GGAUGGUUAGCUCAGUCGGUUGAACAUGGUGCUGAUAACACCAAGGUCGUGGGUUUGAUUCCCAUUCAGUCCC